GGCACUGUGUCCGAGUGGUCCAAGGAGUGUGACUCAAGCGAAAGCUUGCCCUUAAUCUGGGUUUCUCAUCUGUGUAUGCAGGCAGGGGUUCGAAUCCCCUCGGUGUCA
This 108-nucleotide transfer RNA is filed under the name Sphaerobolus stellatus SS14. It matches the Rfam family "tRNA". From Rfam's summary of the family: Transfer RNA (tRNA) molecules are approximately 80 nucleotides in length. The record is from Rfam by way of RNAcentral. Lineage: Eukaryota; Fungi; Basidiomycota; Agaricomycetes; Geastrales; Sphaerobolaceae.